RNAcentral lists this ribosomal RNA (453 nucleotides) under Streptomyces albidoflavus. RNAcentral describes it as "bacterial SSU rRNA". It matches the Rfam family "Bacterial small subunit ribosomal RNA", at positions 56 to 526 of the family's 1533-position model. RNAcentral also lists the same sequence under 1 other name. Lineage: Bacteria; Bacillati; Actinomycetota; Actinomycetes; Kitasatosporales; Streptomycetaceae. The record is from RNAcentral.
UGCAGUCGACGAUGACCGCUUUCGGGCGGGGAUUAGUGGCGAACGGGUGCAGUAACACGUGGGCAAUCUGCCCUGCACUCUGGGACAAGCCCUGGAAACGGGGUCUAAUACCGGAUAUGACUGUCCAUCGCAUGGUGGAUGGUGUAAAGCUCCGGCGGUGCAGGAUGAGCCCGCGGCCUAUCAGCUUGUUGGUGAGGUAGUGGCUCACCAAGGCGACGACGGGUAGCCGGCCUGAGAGGGCGACCGGCCACACUGGGACUGAGACACGGCCCAGACUCCUACGGGAGGCAGCAGUGGGGAAUAUUGCACAAUGGGCGAAAGCCUGAUGCAGCGACGCCGCGUGAGGGAUGACGGCCUUCGGGUUGUAAACCUCUUUCAGCAGGGAAGAAGCGAAAGUGACGGUACCUGCAGAAGAAGCGCCGGCUAACUACGUGCCAGCAGCCGCGGUAAUAC